This 465-nucleotide ribosomal RNA is filed under the name uncultured bacterium. Its description in RNAcentral is "partial 16S ribosomal RNA". It matches the Rfam family "Bacterial small subunit ribosomal RNA", at positions 28 to 507 of the family's 1533-position model. The record is from RNAcentral.
GACGAACGCUGGCGGCGUGCUUAACACAUGCAAGUCGAGCGAGGCCCCUCCUUCGGGAGGGUGUCCUAGCGGCGAACGGGUGAGUAACACGUGGGCAACCUGCCCUCAGCUCUGGGAUAACUCCGGGAAACCGGGGCUAAUACCGGAUACGACCUCCACGGGCAUCUGCGGAGGUGGAAAGUUUUUCGGCUGAGGAUGGGCCCGCGGCCUAUCAGCUAGUUGGUGGGGUAGUGGCCCACCAAGGCGACGACGGGUAGCCGGCCUGAGAGGGCGACCGGCCACACUGGGACUGAGACACGGCCCAGACUCCUACGGGAGGCAGCAGUGGGGAAUAUUGCGCAAUGGGCGAAAGCCUGACGCAGCGACGCCGCGUGAGGGACGAAGGCCUUCGGGUUGUAAACCUCUUUCAGCAGGGACGAAGCGAAAGUGACGGUACCUGCAGAAGAAGCACCGGCCAACUACGUA